Molecule: long non-coding RNA, 88 nt
Organism: Etheostoma spectabile (orangethroat darter)
Lineage: Eukaryota; Metazoa; Chordata; Actinopteri; Perciformes; Percidae
Exons: 3
Source: RefSeq, a predicted model, not a curated record
UCACAGCGACUACAGCAGCACAGAGUAUCAGCAGCAGGACACUGAGCACUGAGCAUCUCACUUUGAAGAAGACCAGGUCGUGGGGGUG